RNAcentral lists this ribosomal RNA (450 nucleotides) under uncultured bacterium. RNAcentral's name for it is "partial 16S ribosomal RNA". It matches the Rfam family "Bacterial small subunit ribosomal RNA", at positions 354 to 796 of the family's 1533-position model. The record is from RNAcentral.
GUGGGGAAUAUUGGACAAUGGGCGAAAGCCUGAUCUAGCCAUGCCGCGUGUGUGAAGAAGGUCUUCGGAUUGUAAAGCACUUUAAGUUGGGAGGAAGGGCAGUAAGUUAAUACCUUGCUGUUUUGACGUUACCGACAGAAUAAGCACCGGCUAACUUCGUGCCAGCAGCCGCGGUAAUACGAAGGGUGCAAGCGUUAAUCGGAAUUACUGGGCGUAAAGCGCGCGUAGGUGGUUUUGUAAGUUGGAGGUGAAAUCCCCGGGCUCAACCUGGGAACUGCCUCCAAAACUGCAUGACUAGAGUACGGUAGAGGGUAGUGGAAUUUCCUGUGUAGCGGUGAAAUGCGUAGAUAUAGGAAGGAACACCAGUGGCGAAGGCGACUACCUGGACUGAUACUGACACUGAGGUGCGAAAGCGUGGGGAGCAAACAGGAUUAGAAACCCGUGUAGUCC